AACCAAUUCUAGCUCAACAUCCUACAAAAUUUAACUACAAACAAUCCAUUAAACAAAACAUUUACCUCUGAAAAAGUAUAGGAGAUAGAAAUUCAAAACAUGAAGCUAUAGAGAUAGUACCGUAAGGGAAAGAUGAAAGAAAAAAAAUAUAGUGAAACAAAGCAAAGACUAAAACUUUUACCUUUUGCAUAAUGAUUUAACUAGAAUACUUUUGACAAAAAGAAUUUAAGCCAAAAACCCCGAAACCAGACGAGCUACUUACUAGCAGCCAAUUUAGGGCCAAUCCGUCUAUGUAGCAAAAUAGUGGAAAGACUAAUAAGUAGAGGUGAAAAGCCUAUCGAGCCUGGUGAUAGCUGGUUGUCCAGACUAGAAUAUUAGUUCAACCUUAAAUUUAUCUAAAGCAAUAUCCCAAAAGCCAAAUAUAAAUUUUAAGCGCUAUUCUAAAGAGGGACAGCUCUUUAGAACAAGGAAAAAACCUUAAUUAGAGAGUAAAUAUUUAUAUUUAUCAUAGUUGGCCUAAAAGCAGCCAUCAAUUAAAAAAGCGUUAAAGCUUAACCAAUAUACCAAAACUAAAUAUCUUUAUUUACCUUGACCUCCUAAUUUAUAAACUGGACUAAUCUAUUAAUCAAUAGAAGAAAUAAUGUUAAAAUAAGUAACAAGAAAAUAUUUCUCCCUGCAUAAGCUUAUAUCAGAUCAAAUAAUUUACUGAUAGUUAACAGCCCAAUAAAAACAAACAUACUAUUAAAGCAUUAUUAAACACACUGUUAACCCAACCCUGGCAUGCACCUAUAAUAAACCUUAAGGGAAAGAUUAAAAAGAGUAAAAGGAACUCGGCAAACAAUAACCCCGCCUGUUUACCAAAAACAUCACCUCUAGCAUAAAAAGUAUUAGAGGCACUGCCUGCCCAGUGACAUAAGUUAAACGGCCGCGGUAUCCUGACCGUGCAAAGGUAGCAUAAUCACUUGUUCCUUAAAUAGGGACUUGUAUGAAUGGCUUGACGAGGGUUUAACUGUCUCUUACUCCCAAUCAGUGAAAUUGACCUUCCCGUGAAGAGGCGGGAAUAUAAUAAUAAGACGAGAAGACCCUAUGGAGCUUAAAUAUUCUAGUCUAACAUUCACUCCAUUUACACCCACGGGCAAUAAAACCUAUGUAAACAGACUACAAAUUUUGGUUGGGGUGACCUCGGAGUACAAAUUAACCUCCGAAUGAUAUUAAUCUAGACUACGACCCGUCUAAAUUUUUAUUCAUAAAUUGACCCAAAAAUAUUUGAUCAACGGAACAAGUUACCCUAGGGAUAACAGCGCAAUCCUACUCAAGAGUUCAUAUCGACAGUUAGGGUUUACGACCUCGAUGUUGGAUCAGGACAUCCAAAUGGUGUAACCGCUAUUAAUGGUUCGUUUGUUCAACGAUUAAAGUCCUACGUGAUCUGAGUUCAGACCGGAGAAAUCCAGGUCGGUUUCUAUCUAUUAAUAAAUUUCUCCCAGUACGAAAGGACAAGAGAAAUAAGGCCAAUUUUUCAUUAUAUGCCUUAGACAAAUAGAUGAUAUCAUCUAAAUCUAGUAAACCAUUAUUAACCCUGCCCUAGAACAGGGUUU
Molecule: ribosomal RNA, 1595 nt
Filed under: Tamias sibiricus (Siberian chipmunk)
Lineage: Eukaryota; Metazoa; Chordata; Mammalia; Rodentia; Sciuridae
Description: 16S ribosomal RNA
Rfam family: Bacterial large subunit ribosomal RNA
Source: RNAcentral